Molecule: ribosomal RNA, 315 nt
Filed under: uncultured bacterium
Lineage: Bacteria
Description: bacterial SSU rRNA
Rfam family: Bacterial small subunit ribosomal RNA
Source: RNAcentral
GAUGAACGCUAGCGACAGGCCUAACACAUGCAAGUCGAGGGGCAGCGGGGGAGUAGCAAUACUCCUGCCGGCGACCGGCGCACGGGUGAGUAACACGUAUGGAACCUGCCCGUCACAGGGGGAUAAGCGGAAGAAAUUCCGUCUAAUACCGCAUAACGUCUUUCCGGGGCAUCCCGGCGGGACCAAAGGGUAACACCGGUGGCGGAUGGCCAUGCGCCGCAUUAGCUGGUUGGCGGGGUAACGGCCCACCAAGGCGACGAUGCGUAGGGGUUCUGAGAGGAAGGUCCCCCACACUGGUACUGAGACACGGACCAG